RNAcentral lists this ribosomal RNA (558 nucleotides) under bacterium tet-w-1. Its description in RNAcentral is "bacterial SSU rRNA". It matches the Rfam family "Bacterial small subunit ribosomal RNA", at positions 49 to 596 of the family's 1533-position model. The record is from RNAcentral.
CUACACAUGCAGUCGACGGCAGCACAGUAAGAGCUUGCUCUUAUGGGUGGCGAGUGGCGGACGGGUGAGGAAUACAUCGGAAUCUACCUUUUCGUGGGGGAUAACGUAGGGAAACUUACGCUAAUACCGCAUACGACCUUCGGGUGAAAGCAGGGGACCUUCGGGCCUUGCGCGGAUAGAUGAGCCGAUGUCGGAUUAGCUAGUUGGCGGGGUAAAGGCCCACCAAGGCGACGAUCCGUAGCUGGUCUGAGAGGAUGAUCAGCCACACUGGAACUGAGACACGGUCCAGACUCCUACGGGAGGCAGCAGUGGGGAAUAUUGGACAAUGGGCGCAAGCCUGAUCCAGCCAUACCGCGUGGGUGAAGAAGGCCUUCGGGUUGUAAAGCCCUUUUGUUGGGAAAGAAAAGCAAUCGAUUAAUACCCGGUUGUUCUGACGGUACCCAAAGAAUAAGCACCGGCUAACUUCGUGCCAGCAGCCGCGGUAAUACGAAGGGUGCAAGCGUUACUCGGAAUUACUGGGCGUAAAGCGUGCGUGGGUGGUUGUUUAAGUCUGUUGUG